CGGGGUGAGUAACACGUGGAUAACCUACCUAUAAGACUGGGAUAACUUCGGGAAACCGGAGCUAAUACCGGAUAAUAUAUUGAACCGCAUGGUUCAAUAGUGAAAGACGGUUUUGCUGUCACUUAUAGAUGGAUCCGCGCCGCAUUAGCUAGUUGGUAAGGUAACGGCUUACCAAGGCAGCGAUGCGUAGCCGACCUGAGAGGGUGAUCGGUCACACUGGAACUGAGACACGGUCCAGACUCCUACGGGAGGCAGCAGCUC
This 261-nucleotide ribosomal RNA is filed under the name uncultured Staphylococcus sp. RNAcentral describes it as "partial 16S ribosomal RNA". It matches the Rfam family "Bacterial small subunit ribosomal RNA", at positions 100 to 355 of the family's 1533-position model. Lineage: Bacteria; Bacillati; Bacillota; Bacilli; Caryophanales; Staphylococcaceae. The record is from RNAcentral.